RNAcentral lists this ribosomal RNA (253 nucleotides) under uncultured bacterium. RNAcentral's name for it is "partial 16S ribosomal RNA". It matches the Rfam family "Bacterial small subunit ribosomal RNA", at positions 524 to 776 of the family's 1533-position model. The record is from RNAcentral.
UACGGAGGGUGCAAGCGUUAUCCGGAUUCACUGGGUUUAAAGGGUGCGUAGGUGGGCAGGUAAGUCAGUGGUGAAAUCUCCGGGCUUAACCCGGAAACUGCCAUUGAUACUAUCUGUCUUGAAUACCGUGGAGGUGAGCGGAAUAUGUCAUGUAGCGGUGAAAUGCUUAGAUAUGACAUAGAACACCAAUUGCGAAGGCAGCUCACUACGGAUUUAUUGACACUGAGGCACGAAAGCGUGGGGAUCAAACAGG